GAUGAACGCUGGCGGCGUGCUUAACACAUGCAAGUCGAGCGAAGCACUUUGGAAAGAUUCUUCGGAUGAUUUCCUUUGUGACUGAGCGGCGGACGGGUGAGUAACGCGUGGGUAACCUGCCUCAUACAGGGGGAUAACAGUUAGAAAUGACUGCUAAUACCGCAUAAGACCACGGUACCGCAUGGUACAGUGGUAAAAACUCCGGUGGUAUGAGAUGGACCCGCGUCUGAUUAGGUAGUUGGUGGGGUAACGGCCUACCAAGCCGACGAUCAGUAGCCGACCUGAGAGGGUGACCGGCCACAUUGGGACUGAGACACGGCCCAGACUCCUACGGGAGGCAGCAGUGGGGAAUAUUGCACAAUGGAGGAAACUCUGAUGCAGCGACGCCGCGUGAAGGAUGAAGUAUUUCGGUAUGUAAACUUCUAUCAGCAGGGAAGAAAAUGACGGU
This 448-nucleotide ribosomal RNA is filed under the name uncultured bacterium. Its description in RNAcentral is "bacterial SSU rRNA". It matches the Rfam family "Bacterial small subunit ribosomal RNA", at positions 28 to 458 of the family's 1533-position model. The record is from RNAcentral.